AGGCGACGACGGGUAGCCGGCCUGAGAGGGCGACCGGCCACACUGGGACUGAGACACGGCCCAGACUCCUACGGGAGGCAGCAGUGGGGAAUAUUGCGCAAUGGGCGAAAGCCUGACGCAGCGACGCCGCGUGAGGGACGAAGGCCUUCGGGUUGUAAACCUCUUUCAGCAGGGAAGAAGCGAAAGUGACGGUACCUGCAGAAGAAGCACCGGCUAACUACGUGCCAGCAGCCGCGGUAAUACGUAGGGUGCAAGCGUUGUCCGGAAUUAUUGGGCGUAAAGAGCUCGUAGUGUUUGUCGCGUCUGCUGUGAAAACUCGGGGCUUAAUCCCGGGCCUGCAGUGGGUACGGGCAGACUAGAGUGCGGUAGGGGAGACUGGAAUUCCUGGUGUAGCGGUGAAAUGCGCAGAUAUCAGGAGGAACACCGGUGGCGAAGGCGGGUCUCUGGGCCGUAACUGACGCUGAGGAGCGAAAGCAUGGGGAGCGAACAGGAUUAGAUACCCUGGUAGUCCAUGCCGUAAACGUUGGGCGCUAGGUGUGGGGCUCUUUCCACGAGUUCCGUGCCGCAGCAAACGCAUUAAGCGCCCCGCCUGGGGAGUACGGCCGCAAGGCUAAAACUCAAAGGAAUUGACGGGGGCCCGCACAAGCGGCGGAGCAUGCGGAUUAAUUCGAUGCAACGCGAAGAACCUUACCAAGGCUUGACAUGAACGGUAAUCCGGCAGAGAUGUCGGGUCCGUAAGGGCCGUUCACAGGUGGUGCAUGGUUGUCGUCAGCUCGUGUCGUGAGAUGUUGGGUUAAGUCCCGCAACGAGCGCAACCCUCGUUCUAUGUUGCCAGCACGUAAUGGUGGGGACUCAUAGGAGACUGCCGGGGUCAACUCGGGGGAAGGUGGGGAUGACGUCAAAUCAUCAUGCCCCUUAUGUCUUGGGCUUCACGCAUGCUACAAUGGCCAGUACAAAGGGCUGCGAGACCGUAAGGUGGAGCGAAUCCCAAAAAGCUGGUCUCAGUUCGGAUCGGGGUCUGCAACUCGACCCCGUGAAGUCGGAGUCGCUAGUAAUCGCAGAUCAGCAACGCUGCGGUGAGUACGUUCCCGGGCCUUGUACACACCGCCCGUCACGUCACGAAAGUCGGUAACACCCGAAGCCGGUGGCCCAACCCUUGUGGAGGGAGCCGUCGAAGGUGGGACUGGCGAUUGGGACGAAGUCGAAACAAGGUAGCCGUACCGGAGGUGCGGCUG
RNAcentral lists this ribosomal RNA (1235 nucleotides) under metagenome. RNAcentral describes it as "bacterial SSU rRNA". It matches the Rfam family "Bacterial small subunit ribosomal RNA", at positions 271 to 1520 of the family's 1533-position model. The record is from RNAcentral.